This 29-nucleotide non-coding RNA is filed under the name Rattus norvegicus (Norway rat). Lineage: Eukaryota; Metazoa; Chordata; Mammalia; Rodentia; Muridae. The record is from RNAcentral.
UUACUUUUGUUCGGUCUUUAAAGUACCUG